CGGUGAAUACGUUCCCGGACCUUGUACACACCGCCCGUCAAGCCAUGGAAGCCGGGUGUACCUAAAGUCGAUAACCGUAAGGAGUCGCCUAGGGUAAAACUGGUGACUGGAGCU
This 114-nucleotide ribosomal RNA is filed under the name uncultured bacterium. RNAcentral describes it as "partial 16S ribosomal RNA". It matches the Rfam family "Bacterial small subunit ribosomal RNA", at positions 1360 to 1482 of the family's 1533-position model. The record is from RNAcentral.